CCUUAUACGAAGAUACUUACGAUGAGUGUCCACACAGAUUGAUGGUUUAGAUUUAGUUAAAGCCAGAGCUUUAAUUAAUAACGUAAGUUAUUGAUUAAAGCUUUUUGCUUUAUGCUCUUUAACAAUUUGGAAAGCUGACUGAUUGAUUACUUACGAGUAAUUCAAUCAAAUUUAAAAGUUCUCAGUGUUUAUCUUUCAUUAGAUAAACACAACAAACACAUUCAAGUGUCUUGUAUUCGAAUCAAUGUUUACAUUGAUUCACAAUUGAGUCCGGCAAACAGUUAUCAGGAAUUAACCCUUCUUGAUGACAACCAAAAACCUUGGUUAGUUGCCAUACGCUUAUUUGUCUUCACUUUUUAAAGUGAAAGCAAAUAGAGACCCUUUCGGGUUGUAU
RNAcentral lists this unclassified non-coding RNA (394 nucleotides) under Vibrio splendidus. RNAcentral describes it as "partial 16S-23S ribosomal RNA intergenic spacer". Lineage: Bacteria; Pseudomonadati; Pseudomonadota; Gammaproteobacteria; Vibrionales; Vibrionaceae. The record is from RNAcentral.